UGAAUAUAGCUGCUGUUUUUCUAAAAAAAAUCUUAUCUUUAAAGAAAUUUAAUAUUCAAAAGAAUAGGACUAUUUUGAAAUAAUAAAGGAAGGCUUCUGUGUAGUUUCUUUGGUUUCAGAGUUGACACGGGGUUAGAGCCUUUGCAUUACUUAAUAGCACAUCCUUGUCACUAUUUAAAGAGCAGUUAGUGAGCGCCCCAGGCCCCACCUCUCAAAGCAUCAUUAAACCUUGCUCUGAAAUAGUGAGGUCAUAAAGGUCUUGUUUGCCGAAGACAAACGGUUUAUAAUAUGCAGCAUAGCUCUUUUUAGAAAAUAAUAGGUUAAAAGUUAAGAAAGUGCAAGGUUUUUUUUUUUUUUUUUUAAAGCUGAAAGCUAAACAUUCUUGUGCUAAUGUUGUGACUGGAAAUUUUGAAAAGAAAAAUCCUACCGUAAUAUUAUCUACAUGAAAUACAUAUAUGCCUAUCACGUUUGAAAAAUAACUGCACAGCGGUUUUUGAAAUUAGGACCAUUCCAGCUCAGAUACUGGCAGUGAUGCGUAGCUGGUUUUCAAUUUUAGAGUCUUAAUUUGCCUUCUUAGCCUACUUUUUUUUUUUUUUUUUUGGAGUGAGAAGUUUGAGUAGUGCUUUGCCAGAGUGAUUUUGGGGCAGACGUCGUGCACCAUCAGUGAGACAUUUUUGUGCAUUUUACUUUUUGGACAUCACCAGGGCGCAUGUGGAAACACGAGGGGGUUUGUGCCUGCAGGCCGGGAUGCUGCAGGACUCUCUGGUCCAUCACGAUUUGUCCUGGAGCUGCUCCGGUCAGUGAAUGACUUUCUGUGGCUUGGAGGUAAGGUGAUCUGAAUGCAGAUGAUCAGAUGUGUAGUUAAAGUGCUCUUACUUGAAAUAAGAGAAAACCUAGCAACAUGGCUCUAAAAAUACAGGAUGAAGGAGGAGAACUGGCUGAGCUGCUUGCAGUGGGGAGUCUUAGGUGACUCCCUCACCAUGAUUCCUGCCAAUAUCCACCCCAGCACUGCACGGCAGUCCUGCCAAAGCAGGCGAGCCCUUUGCUCAGAAACGCACUGAAUUUCCUUGUACCUCUGUGUGUUGGGUUUUUUUUAAGCGCAUCUUGGCCUUUGCUUCGAAUGCAAUUUUUUUUAGGCACCUCUUACACCCAUUCUUUCAGACCUCGUCCAUACGUAGCUGCUGAGUGGAUGAACAGAAUAUAAUAUCUCCACGUAGUGGAAUGUUAUUCAGAUGUAAGAAUGAAUGAAAAAGAAAAAAAAAGGGGAAGAUGAAACAGCCCACUUGCUCUGGGAAGUCCACCCUGACUACUCAACUCGCACUUUUCCCUUUGAUACCCCACCCCUUAUACUUCUCUCAAUUUGAUAGUAGUUACUGCCUUCUAAUAAACUAUAACCUUUUAAAAAAAAAAUGAGACGCUAAUACCAAUUCGAUAUGGGCAAGCCUUGAUAACAGCAUGUUAAGUAAAACGAGCCAGACACAAAAGGCCACAUAUUGUUGAUUUCAGUGAUCUGAAAUGCCCAGAAUAGGCACAUUCAGAGGCAGAGGGCAGAUGAUGCUAGCGAGGGGCUGGCUGGACAGGGGGAUGGGGAGUGACUGCUAAUGGACAGGGGAUUUCUUUUGGGGUGGAGUGUUCUGGAAAUAGAUGAUGGUAAGGGCUGUACAACCGUGAGCAUACAGAAAGCUGCAGAAUCGUACCUCUUGAAGUGGGCGCGUUUUAUCAUAUGUGAAUUAUAUGUCAAUUUAAAAAAAAAAGCUGAAAAAAAAGAAAUCCUCAGGCAAAGGGCAGCCUCUCCCGGGCCCGCCCCGCGGUGGGGUCUGUCAGUCUCCCUCUGGGCUGGAGCUGCCUGUGACAUGGUUUUCUCCUGCAGGGACUGUCUCCUGGAGGUGGGAGCGGGAGGCAAGGUCCAUGUGUCUCCAUCAUCUAGCAUGUGGUAGAUGUUCCCUAAAUGCUUGUUAAUAAAUGCUCUGGGAGUAAGGACUAAAAUGGGGCACUUUCCUGGAAGAAGCUGACAGCUCAGAGCGCCUGCCAACCACUUAGGAUAAAUACGGGUCAGAGUGAAGUAAUGAAAUUCUCUAAUAGAAGUUUAACAACGAGCUGUAGUACACACUAAGUAGAAGAGAUUCUUGAAUGGACUUACAUUUCCUAAUUUGGCUUCUUAAAGAGGAGAGAGAAAUAAAAGUGGGAAAGAGAAGAAAUCAAUGUAAAAGAAAAGAGAAAACAUGUAAAAAUAAUUAAGCUGAAUGAGAAAAGCAAAUGAUAGGAGCUUGAGUACGUUGUAUUGAAAGAGAAGUCUGUAAAUCCUCGUGACUGAUGGCUGGAGGGUAGCUGUGAGAUUGGGCACUUCUCCAGGAUGAGAACCCACCUGGGACCCUGACCCACAUGGUGGUGAGGGGCUGUCAGCUUCCUGCAGAGAAUGGUGUCCUGUGUUCUUGGCCUCUCACCUUCAGUCCAUCGGAAAAGGACAGUGGAGCUUCCCGGGGGCUCCAUGACGUGCGACACCACAGCAGACGGAGCGCAGAAGUGGAUGUGGGGACCAGGCUCACUUGUGUUUAACCAGAUGGGAAGGAAAUUUUAGAAAUGUUAAACUAUGCCACUCUUCUGGCGUUUUGUUUCAGAAAGUUGUUAUCCUUCAUAAAAAUUUAACAUUUAAAGGGCUUAUUAUUUUAAUAGGAAUGAAUACAUAAAGUUUUAAAUCCUUCUCUAUUUUUCGUCUUCUUUUUUUAAUGGAGGUACUGGGGAUUGAACCCAGGACCUCUUGCAUGCUAAGCUUGUGCUCUAUUACUGAGCAAUAUCCAUCUCUACUAGUUUUAUUUUUGAAUGUGGUAAGUAUCUGUAGGUGUAACCUGCACACAGACAGAAAAGCACUAUUUGAGAGCCUCAGUGGUUUUUCAGAGUGUCGGGGGGUUCUAAGACCAAAAAGUUGGAGGUUCGCGGAGCUAAUGAAUGCAGAUGAAGACUGUAGCCCAGCUUGUCAGGCCUGUGGCUGCCUAAGGUUCUCAGGGUGGAAGUGCCAGUGACAGGAGAGCAAACGGUUGUAGCUACUAACAGUGGCCGCCUUUGAGAAGGAGGCAGGCCAGUUAGAUAUUUAUUCCAUGUGGGGCAGAUGCAUUUAGGGUGGAGGAGGUGGAAAGGUAUUCUGGUCCUGCUUCAGGUGGUAUUAUUUUAAAACACUUUCAUUUCGGGGCCCUUCCUGCUCCAUCCCUCAUCUCUCUGCAGUGGCAGCAUCUGGCCUAGAGCCUGCUGCACAGAACGCACAUUAAACUCUUGGUUAAAUGAAGGACUGGACGGCCUGUUUCACGUGUGGGCUCAGCCCUCAGUGGAACCCUGAGCAUCGUGAGAUUCUUCCGUGUUGCCAGCCUUGACACGGGCGUGCAGAGCAGAAAAGCUGAGCCUGAGGGGCUGUGUUCGGCCUCUGUCAUCUGUCACUGUCCUGCUGAGACUGGUUGCCAAGCUGGGGCUCAGAGGUUCCAGGGCAGCUCACUUCCUGCCGAGGCAGCCAACAGACACCGCCCAGCAAACUGGUGUGAUUUCCUGACUCUUUGGGAAGUAUUUUGCAAGACACUUAGAUUACCUACUGUUGGAAAAAUGCAGAAGUGACUUUUAUGAAUAUAGGCCUAGUACAGUUCUGUUGGUCUUUGAUAUACUGCAAGACAUGAGGACUAGGAGAGCUCUGCUGCUGAUUGCCAGAAGGACAGAUGCCGGGUCUCAGUCUCCCCUCCUGUAAACUGAAGAGGCAAUACUGGAUUCUUUCCUCUUCUAAAAUGAGUUUCCAUGAACUUAUGCCUUUUGUUUAUAUUCAGGAGUAUUUACAAUUUCAGAUUAAAUGCUGAAUACCACUCCCUUCCCCGAAGCAGAAGUCAAUAUGUGCUAGAUAAGUUUUUAGUUAUCUGAUUCUUCUUUCUUUUUUUUUUUAAAUUUAUUUUCCUGAGUUAUAGUCGUUUAUAAUGGUGUACCAAUUUCCAGUGUAGAACACAAUUUUUCAGUUAUACAUGAACAUGCAUAUAUUCGUUGUCACAUUCUCUUUCACUGUGAGCUACCGCAAAAUCUUGAAUAUAAUUCCCUGUGCGAUACAGAAUGUUCUUGUUUACCUAUUCUAUAUAUACCUGUCAGUAUCUACAAAUUUCAAACUCUCCGUCUGUCCCUUCCCACACCCCUCCUCCCUGGCAACCACAAGUUUGUAUUCUAUGUCUAUGACUGUUUCUGUUUUGUAUUUACAUUCAUUUGUCCUUUUCUUUUCUUUUUAGAUUCCACAUAUGAGUGAUCUCAUAUGGUAUUUUUCUUACUCUUUCUGGCUGACUUCACUUAGAAUGGCAUUCUCCAGGAACAUCCAUAUUGCUACAAAUGGCAUUAUGUUGUCAUAUUUAUGGCUGAAUAGUAUUCCAUUAUAUAAAUAUACCACAUAUUCUUUAUCCAGUCAUAUGUUGAUGGACAUUUAGGCUGUUUCCAUGAUUUGGUUAUUGUAAAUAGUGCUGCUAUGAAUAUUGGGGUGCAAGUCUCUUUUUGAAGUAGGGUUCAUUCUGGAGA
Camelus dromedarius (Arabian camel) is the source of this 4527-nucleotide long non-coding RNA. RefSeq lists it as uncharacterized. The record is from RefSeq and is a predicted model, not a curated record. NCBI's taxonomy places the organism in Eukaryota, Metazoa, Chordata, Mammalia, Artiodactyla, Camelidae. The transcript has 3 exons.